This 28-nucleotide non-coding RNA is filed under the name Rattus norvegicus (Norway rat). The record is from RNAcentral. Lineage: Eukaryota; Metazoa; Chordata; Mammalia; Rodentia; Muridae.
UGCUUAAGAGUUUUGCGGAAUUGUGAAC